UUAAUCUAUGGUCAUUUAGUAUUUAGUGUAUCCCUUCUUAUCAAAUCUCUCAUUUCCCGCAACCCUCAUAAAUUAUUUUCUCUGUUCCAUAAAUAAACCGCUCUAAUUCUCUUCAUUGUUUCCCCUUAUCAUUAUCUCUUCAUUUGCUUCACUGAAUUGCCUCUUCACCUCCCCUUCUUUUCUCUCAUCAUAAACCCUCUCUUCCACUUUCUCUUUAUUUGUAUUUCUUCACAAUAUUCAAAAUUAGAUCUAUUACAUAUCUCCCUCCUCCCUAAGUCUACUUAUCGAAAAGCUCCUCCACAAAUAUUCGAAAGCUCUCUUCAGACUCUUCUGAAGGAGAAUCUCAUACUGUAGAAAAGGCGUUUAAGAAGCAAUCCACUUGUGAUAAAGGAUAUUCUUGCAAGAAAUUUUGGGUGGAAACUUGUGGGUCUUUUACUCGAGAGGACAUGCAAAAGUUUUGGGGUAUUUAGCAAAAGAGAAAUUUGAGCUCUUUUAAAAUCAGUCUGUGGUUCAGAUAUGAUGAUAAACUUGAAGCUACUCAAGGAGUCUCAUUUUUCAGUAAGUGAUGUUUUCAAGGAUCAAAAACUUAAAUAGUUCUUCAAUGUAUAUGGUAUAGAAGUUUAUGAGGAUCAUGUUUACUUGUUUUAUGCUAACCUUCAUAUAUCUCGAGAAAGAGGAGAACUUGAAACCCUAGUGCUUGACCCUAGAAUUAUAUUAAAUGACUUUCUAUUUGAAAAAGUAUAUGAAAUUGACUCUUCUGUAGGUCUUCCAUAUAUGAAUGGUGGUUGGCCUGAUGAUUUUGAGGUAUCGCUUAAAGGAGCAAAGAAGGCAGUUAUCAAAUUGGGAACUAACCUUUCUGAUUUUUUAACCCUGUCUCUGCGAUUUGAAAAUAGAAUUGUAGCAACAUAUUAUUACUACGACCUUAGUCCCCACAAAAGUGACCUUAGUAGCAUUUCCACUAGGGAUUUAUUUAUUUUGUAUUGUCUAAUUAAUAAGUAUCAUUUGAAUUGGGGUGAUUGGUUUCAAAAGUAUAUACUAGAAAGUGCUCAGGACUCUAGCGCCUCUGCUAGUUUGCCCUAUGGGGCACUGAUUUUUCACAUUUUGCUUUACUCAAUGAUUGAUUUAUCUAAUUUUCUUAUUGUGUAUGUUACUGGUACCUAUGACACCCAAGCUUUUAAAAGCAUAGGCUAUGUGUUAGUUGACUUCCAAUGGUGUAAUAAGGAUUCAGCCAAAACUCGUUAUGUGAAAACCAACUCUGAAAGGCCCCCAUUGAUUCUACUACAUUGUUGCUCAAAGAAGUAGAAGGUAUACAGAAACGGCCGAUGACUCUGGAAGAAGGGAUGAUAUCUCUGUAGGAAACUAUUGGAAAAAUUAGUCAAGUCACCAAGGAUAUAGGCACAUAUGUAGGAAAAUUGAGGCUUGUAGUCGACAGCAUAAAGAUUGAGGAAAUUCAAACUAUGAAUAAAUUGAUCAAGCAAGUUGACUCUAUUAAUUUUGGAGUCAGUUCCUCUCACAACGAACUUGUUGUCACCUUUCAGACAUACUAUUCAACCUUUUCGAAUAACGUGGAAAAGUCCUAUGAUGCCUGCUGCAGGAAUGUGAUUAGUAUUUUGACCUACUUUUUGAAAAAAGAAGUAAAUAUUUUAGUCCUUGAUUCAAUAGGGAUGUGUCCCUGGCAACUUUUAUGUAUUGUCUGUGCACUACUAUCUCCAAUUCCUCCCCUUAUUAGGGGUUAUUUCUAUUGAACUAUGUCAUCUUUUUAUUAUCUGCAUGUUUAUCUAUUUUGUGAUAUUUGUAUAUUUCCUUUGUUAUUAUGUCAAAGGGAGAGAAAACACUGGUUCUACAGGUCACAAGGAGAUGCACAAUUCGAGGGGGAGCCAGCUCAACUUGAAAGAAACUUACAGGGAAGUUUAUCUACUUUUAUCCACAAAUAUAGUUUUAAUGAUGACAAUGUUAAUCCCUAAUUAUGUGCCAAAUGAUAAAAGAAGCAAUACACAAAAAGAAAAAGUCCAUUUUGCCAGUAGAGAUAUCAAUCCCACAAUUCAAACAAAAUCUCAAGGCUUUUGGAAGGCUACAUCACAAAAGGAAGGAGUAUAUUCAGCUCAGGAAUAUAAGAAAAAAAAUAUGAACGUAUCUGAUAUGGGUAUAUUACGUCAUCUGGGUAUUCAAUUCCCAACUUAAAUGACUCACAAAUUCCUUGACUUUCCCGAUUAAUAGAGUACGAAAUUAGAAGAAAGAAAAUUCUAAUUCUUUCAAAUCAAGGAAAAGCUAUUACAACAGCAAGAAAAAGAUCGAUCAAGAUUUUGAGGAUCAGAAGAUACAAAGGUCACAAUAUUCAAACCUUGUAUAAAUAGAACAUAGUAGCCUGAGUUUAUUUUGUACAUCUUCACUUGAGAAAAAUCGUAGUUACUUCUUAUUGUUAUAAAAAUCAUUGUAAUACGUUAUAGUGAAAACAAAAUAGAGAAGAAGCUAGAAGUUAUACAAGUAGAGGUUGCUACCUUUCGAAUAAAGCUAUCCUAUAAAGCUUGUGAGAAAAUCACUGUAUUCAUUUAAAGUUGCUCCAAGGAAAUCU
Molecule: long non-coding RNA, 2572 nt
Filed under: Capsicum annuum
Lineage: Eukaryota; Viridiplantae; Streptophyta; Magnoliopsida; Solanales; Solanaceae
Description: long non-coding RNA (CANN_LNC000333)
Source: RNAcentral